GACAGAGGGUGCAAGCGUUAAUCGGAAUUACUGGGCGUAAAGGGCGCGUAGGUGGAUGAUCAAGUUAGAUGUUAAAGCCCUGGGCUUAACCUGGGAAUGCCAUUUAAUACUGAUUGUCUAGAGUUAGGGAGAGGAAAGUAGAAUUUCCGGUGUAGCGGUGAAAUGCGUAGAUAUCGGAAAGAAUACCUGAGGCGAAGGCGGCUUUCUGGCCCAUAACUGACACUGAGGCGCGAAAGCGUGGGGAGCAAACAGG
RNAcentral lists this ribosomal RNA (253 nucleotides) under uncultured bacterium. RNAcentral's name for it is "partial 16S ribosomal RNA". It matches the Rfam family "Bacterial small subunit ribosomal RNA", at positions 524 to 776 of the family's 1533-position model. The record is from RNAcentral.